CGGCACGGGUGAGUAACACGUAUCCAACCUGCCGUCUACUCUUGGCCAGCCUUCUGAAAGGAAGAUUAAUCCAGGAUGGCAUCAUGAGUUCACAUGUCCGCAUGAUUAAAGGUAUUUUCCGGUAGACGAUGGGGAUGCGUUCCAUUAGAUAGUAGGCGGGGUAACGGCCCACCUAGUCAACGAUGGAUAGGGGUUCUGAGAGGAAGGUCCCCCACAUUGGAACUGAGACACGGCCAA
RNAcentral lists this ribosomal RNA (237 nucleotides) under uncultured bacterium. RNAcentral's name for it is "partial 16S ribosomal RNA". It matches the Rfam family "Bacterial small subunit ribosomal RNA", at positions 100 to 334 of the family's 1533-position model. The record is from RNAcentral.